ACCACUCCCACAAAAGUCUACGACCGCACCUACAUAUUUUUGCAUGUUUACAAUUCUAAUUUAAUUUAAACAUCCAAUCGACGUUUAAUUGUAAUUGUUACCAAGAACCUGAUUGGCUGUUCAAAAUUAGAAUUCUAAACAUGCAAAAUAUGUAGGUGCAGUCGUAGACGUUUGUGGGAGUGGC
Molecule: non-coding RNA, 184 nt
Organism: Paramuricea clavata
Lineage: Eukaryota; Metazoa; Cnidaria; Anthozoa; Malacalcyonacea; Plexauridae
Source: the annotation of a GenBank genome assembly